RNAcentral lists this ribosomal RNA (130 nucleotides) under uncultured bacterium. RNAcentral's name for it is "partial 16S ribosomal RNA". It matches the Rfam family "Bacterial small subunit ribosomal RNA", at positions 375 to 525 of the family's 1533-position model. The record is from RNAcentral.
GCGCAGCCUGAUCAGCCAUGCCGCGUGAGUGAUGAAGGCCCUAGGGUUGUAAAGCUCUUUCGCGGUGAAGAUAAUGACGGUACCCGUAGAAGAAGCCCCGGCUAACUUCGUGCCAGCACCCGCGGUAAUA